Molecule: ribosomal RNA, 279 nt
Filed under: uncultured bacterium
Lineage: Bacteria
Description: partial 16S ribosomal RNA
Rfam family: Bacterial small subunit ribosomal RNA
Source: RNAcentral
CUCCUACGGGAGGCAGCAGUGGGGAAUAUUGGGCAAUGGGCGCAAGCCUGACCCAGCAACGCCGCGUGAAGGAAGAAGGCCCUCGGGUUGUAAACUUCUUUUAUCAAGGACGAAACAAAUGACGGUACUUGAUGAAUAAGCCACGGCUAACUACGUGCCAGCAGCCGCGGUAAUACGUAGGUGGCAAGCGUUGUCCGGAAUUACUGGGUGUAAAGGGAGCGCAGGCGGGAAGCCAAGUCAGCUGUGAAAACUACGGGCUUAACUUGUAGACUGCAGUUG